GCCCCGGGCAUGGCCCCGCCGCGGGCAGGGGGAGCGGGGCUGCGCUGGCCCCGCGCGGGAAACUGUGAGGAGAGGGCGGCCGCAGGCCCGGGAGCCGCUCCCUCACGCCGGUCGGGUGCCCCAACCCAGCGGCGGCUGUGUCCCGGCUGGGAUCUUCGAGGAAGUGCAGCAUGGCCGUGGUUUUGUCGUGUGUCGUGAGUCAUGCAACUGUAGAAUCCUUAAGGUGAGAGAAGGCAGGGUUUCCUUCUCUCAUUGCAGUUUCUGCGCUUACAGGUAAGUGGGACUCCUGAAAAUGUACUUACAAUCCACACACCUCACUGGUAAAUAAAGAACAGAAGCAACAACAUGGUGUAAUAAAAAAAUCUAAGUUGACUACAUUAUAGGACAUUUUGUGCAUACUUUUGUGUGCAUAUUAAUUUCAUAUUCAGCAGGCUAUCUUUUGACAUGUGUUCUCCUGCUCCAAAAUAAUUCCUUUAAAGUCUGCAUUUCAUUAUUUAGAAAUACAGCUUCACAGUGUUAGAUUGACUCUGAGUUGUUCACUUCUGUUGGUGUAAAUUUGAUUCCUAUUUGUGAUGUGGUCCCUUAUAUAUUUUAAACUUUACUGUUUCUUGCUUAUAGAAAGAAAUGCAGGUAUUUCUAAUAAUCUAAUGAAUGCAAAAUAGCAUCAUAAUUGCUUUUAUCUACUUGGCAGCAUUACUUAGUGAGUAUUGAGUUGUCAUUUGAAUUGUGGCAUUGUCAUCCAUGCCACGCAAAGAGAACAAAAUUUAAGUUGUUGGGUUCUGGAUUAAGUAAAAAUGUUUAAAAGUCUUGUCUUAAGCUACCACAUAGGAAAAUACUGCCUGUAUUACAGGACUCCAGUUGUUUAUUUUUCUCUCUGGAAAGAUAUUCUGCAGAGCAGAGAAGAGCAGGAACAUCAUUUUGGAGGGUGUCUGAAUGCUGGCUGAGCAGGGACCCCCUUCUCUUGGCUUCAGCCAGUGUUACACAUUUGCUGAAAUGCCCCAUUUUGCCAAGGAUGGUUGUCAGUCCUUUAAAUGGAGGUAGGAGACUCAGUCCAUGAUUUGGUGGUUCAGAUAUUCCCUGCUGAGACAACUGGAAACUUGCCUGGUGUGGGAGAGCAGAACUUAAACACUUGGAAAUGCUGAUGGGAGUGUGAGGUAUAUGGAUGAGCUGAAGGACAACUUAUGUACAUAUCUGGGGUGUCUGAAGAUGUCCCUGUCGUCAAACCAUCCCUCCUUCCAUGCUGACCAUGAGCAGCUUGGCACUGCUGAGGCCGACCCCUACAACAAUUGAAGAAGUCCUCUCAGGCUGGUUCCUGAUUUUCCUUUUUUUCCUUACUUUUGGCUCCUUCUGAAAAUUGUGCACUCUAUUCCCUACUGUUUUAGUGAACUCUUUGUCACAUUUCAGUUUUUGGUUUCUUUAAACCCCACAGUUUUAAUAAAUUCUUUAGCUCAAAUGUGUUUACGACUUCAAUGUUCACAUUUUUUUCUUCCUGGCAGGAUGUGUUGCCACCCCCCAUUGUCCUCAAAAACCCAAAGAUAGGUAGGCUGAAGGAAGACUGUGUGUGGUUAAAAUGUCACUGCACUCCCAACUAAUUCUGGCUGCUAGAAUUGUCCCUGGGGGCAGCAGACAGCUGGACAUAAUUUAAAGCAGGCUGAGAUUGAUACUAGAGGCUAGCCCAAAAAGGAGGAAAACAAAAUUGCAGUUUAAUCUCUUCUACUCACAGAUCUGACCCCCUUUUCCUGUUUCAAACUUCGCUCCCUAGAACAGAAAUGAAGCACGUGGAGAACUUCAGCAACUCGUGUUUGCCAGCUCGGGGGACCAUCGGUGUCAAUUUAAGAUGGUUUCUGUCCCUGAGUGUGGCAUAUCAAGUAACACUGAAGUUGUCUAAACUCAGAGCUGGAAUGGUGGAGAUGCUAUUUUCAUGUUGGACUCACAGGAAUUUUAGAACAUAAAUUAUUUUGAUAACAUGGCAGGCUGCCUUUCUGCCACGCUGCCUGCAAGUGUCAAUUUUUUUUCCAUGUUUCAACUUGGAAGUGACAUAAUGUUGAAGGAUAAACUGUGAAGAAUUAGAGGUCUGAUUUUUUUAUUGCCAAUUAAACAUGACAAAUGUUAAACUUCUAUUUGAGGUUAUAUUUUACAAGUUUAUUUAUCUUUAAGGGAGGUAUCCUGAGUAUAUUGUAUGUGCCAUGAAGUGUCACUGUACUGUAAAUUUGAUUUGAAAGAAGGUCUGUGUUAGGUAAUUACUUUCACUUUUCAUAGAAAGCUGACAUAGAGGUAAAAAUUCACCAUAUCAGUUUCUUAUCACAGGUGUUGAAGUGACAAAAAGUUAAUAAGGACCAAAACAUCAGUAGCAAGGGGCAGAGAACAAAUUCUCUCCUUCUGCUUAAUCCUCCUAUUCAAUCUAAACAUAUAUUUAUUGUUCUCCGUUUCUUGCUUUGCAGUAGAGUUCAUAGGUGACAGAUGAUGCAAACACAGAAUUAGAGAAAACUGACAAAGAAAAGAUAGGAGAGUUGGAUUAGAAAAAUCUAGGAGUAGCAUUUCAGCCUUUAUUUUCAGGUUAUCUCCUGUAUGAGAGAUCUUGCAUGAGUUUUGUUAUGCUGAAGCCUCUGGCUAACUUGAGCAAACCAUUGCUUUAAUUUUUAAAUGUCUAACAAUGCUCUAAGGAUAUUAAAGUAUAACAUUGUUGCCAUUUUUUAUUUUGAUUUUUGCUAAAGAUCAAGCCUGUGGUCUGCAUACAAUUUGUCAAGCAUGCAAUUUGCUUGUCUGCUGCAUUUUAUGGGGAUGUGAUCCUGUAUUUCGUGUGUUUCUGUGGACUCCAGCAGAAAUCUGGAUGCCCAGAUAAGGUGGUGACUAUUCCCACUGGAGUCCUUUGUGAGUAAAAGAAACAUGAGGGAGAGAGUGAGUGAGUGGGAAAGGCAUUUCCCAGAGGUUGUCCAUCUUUUUUGUUGGUACAGUUGUGCAGCCCUAAUAAAUUGGGAAUUGAAGGGAUUUGGAAGGGUGAGGGAUUUUCAGAUCAGCUGAAAAUAACACAAGAAAUGUGGGGGUGAGGGUGUGUGGGAAGGAUGAGCCCAUUUCACUUUCCAUAUGUGGUUCACCACCUCUUGCAUCUCAGGGAAUGAGGAUUUUCCAGGACUGCAAACCUCUCCUAGUGAUACUCUCGGGUGAUGUUGGUUUUAGGCUCCCCUGUGCACAAUGAGAGAAUAUGGUUAAUGGUUGUUUUCUCAGUGUUUUCCAGGCUGCAAGUUUGAGGUCCAUCUUACACAAGUUUACUCAUGCUCCCAGAAUAUCUGUUUUUAUGGAUUAACCAUACAGAUAAGAGCUACAGCAGCCCAGAAAACAUUCAUCAUUGUAGAUAUGUGGUUUCUGUAAUACUGGAGUUGUCAUUUCUUCUCCUUUUUCUUCUGGAAAACCAGCAUUGCUGUGCAUAGGAGUUGAAGUCUGAUGCUGUACUAGGUUUCAACCAAUUUGGUUAAAAUGAGAACUUUUUCCCAGAAAUAUAACCCAUCUGAGGAGCAGACAGCCUUUCUGAUAUUCAAAAUCCUAGCUUGAAUAUAUACGGUUGUUCUGAUUAAACUGUGUCAGUGCAGUUCCUUGCUCUGGCUAAGAGGCAACAUAGAAAUGCCAGAAUUCAAAUCCAGUAUCACCCAGAAUAUGUUGGAGACAGCUUUCAACUCUAGUUUUGGCUUCCUGUGAAGCUUUGUGCAAAUCAUUUAAUCGAUUUCUUGGUACACUCUCUCUGAAAUGAAGAAAAGAUGUGACUCUUGCUCAGGGAAGUGAGAUACCUGUGGCUGAAAGGGAUCAAAAUUCUGGAAAAGGCUGGAAGAUGAUACCAUGAAAAGCUGGCACAGAAACACCCAUAACCCUUCAUUUCAACAGAAAAGGUGGAAUGGCAAGACCUCUGUGUGGGGCUUAUUUGGUGGAUGUUUUGGGCUCUAUCCAUGCACAUCUGUGGCUACCCCCCCAUGGAAAUUGACUGCACUUCAAGCCAUAUGUGAGGGCACUGUGGAGCUGCCAUCCCUGGAUCCUUGUCCGGGGAAUGCCACUGAGGAUUUGGCAGCAGAAAAUACCAUAAACCUGUGAGAUUGGGAAUGCACCAUGGAAACAAACAGCACCCUGGCAAAAUAAAGAGAUGUUUCCUCAAUGGAUCGCCAUUAAAAAGCUCAGCAGAGUUCCUUCUGAACCCUGCAUGAAGGGAUACUCCAAACUUCUCAAAGAAAAAUGCACAGCGAAGUGGGGUAUUAAACGGUAUCACCGUGCUUUGCUAUAAAACACAGAAGGCUUUUACGAGAGCCGAAGUGGUAAGUUGUUGAUCCAUUGUGUUGGAAUUGGAUGAAACGAAUUCCUCUGGGAGAUAAGGAAAAGGAUCUAGAAAUGUAGUGCUGCCCUCCAGUGGCGGCAUGAGGGGGUUUGUCUCCAGUGCUCGCAGGAUGUUGGCUGGAAGGCAAACAGAAACGUGCAAGUAUUUCCGAAAGGACUGGGUAGUUACAGUUCAAAUGUUAGGGCAGCAGUGGAGAAGAGGGGAUGUGAGACACAGCCAAACUUACCCUAGUCUGGAACUGCUGAAUUGGUGAUUUGUCCAAGGUU
Long non-coding RNA from Vidua macroura (Pin-tailed whydah), 4584 nucleotides. RefSeq lists it as uncharacterized. The transcript is spliced from 6 exons. NCBI's taxonomy places the organism in Eukaryota, Metazoa, Chordata, Aves, Passeriformes, Viduidae. The record is from RefSeq and is a predicted model, not a curated record.